UACGUAGGUGGCGAGCGUUGUCCGGAUUUACUGGGCGUAAAGGGAGCGUAGGCGGACUUUUAAGUGAGAUGUGAAAUACUCGGGCUCAACUUGAGUGCUGCAUUUCAAACUGGAAGUCUAGAGUGCAGGAGAGGAGAAUGGAAUUCCUAGUGUAGCGGUGAAAUGCGUAGAUAUCAGGAGGAAUACCGUUAGCGAAGGCGGCAAUCUGGCUGGAAACUGACGCUGAGGUGCGAAAGCGUGGGUAGCAAACAGG
RNAcentral lists this ribosomal RNA (253 nucleotides) under uncultured Clostridiaceae bacterium. RNAcentral's name for it is "partial 16S ribosomal RNA". It matches the Rfam family "Bacterial small subunit ribosomal RNA", at positions 524 to 776 of the family's 1533-position model. Lineage: Bacteria; Bacillati; Bacillota; Clostridia; Eubacteriales; Clostridiaceae. The record is from RNAcentral.